Molecule: small nuclear RNA, 62 nt
Filed under: Cervus elaphus hippelaphus
Lineage: Eukaryota; Metazoa; Chordata; Mammalia; Artiodactyla; Cervidae
Source: RNAcentral
AUACUCUGGUUUCUCCUCAGAUUAUAUAGAUCUUCCGCCUUUUACUAAAGGCAAUGAAGAGG